AAAAUGCGAUAACUAGUGUGAAUUGCAGAAUUAAAACGUGAAUCAUCGAGUCUCUGAACGCAAAUUGCGCUCCGCGGUCAUUCCGCGGAGCAUACCUGUUUGAGCCUCAUUUUCUUUCUAUCUUUCGAGAUGAAGUGCACUCCCUUCUCUUAUGAGAUAGUGUUAAAGGCAGUCUUAUUAAUUCUUUUUCUAAAAAAAGGAGCAGUGUGCCAAUACCACCUGCGCUUUUUUAUCACAAAAAAAGAAACAUUCUUUGAGCUCAAAUCAGGCAGGACUACCCGCUGAACUUAA
Molecule: unclassified non-coding RNA, 291 nt
Filed under: uncultured Ascomycota
Lineage: Eukaryota; Fungi; Ascomycota
Description: sequence contains ITS1
Rfam family: 5.8S ribosomal RNA (bases 1-109)
Source: RNAcentral